Non-coding RNA from Danio rerio (zebrafish), 1208 nucleotides. Lineage: Eukaryota; Metazoa; Chordata; Actinopteri; Cypriniformes; Danionidae. The record is from RefSeq and is a predicted model, not a curated record.
CUACUUUCAAGCGAAUCCUGAACUCGGGGAGGGAAAAACCAUUCCCAACAAUUUGGAGGGGGCACCCGGAUUCGCCCAGACGCCUCGUCGAGUUGGAGGACGAUCUCAAAUCAACCUCUGCGCAGAACUUCUAAUAAGAAAAAUUGGCCAACAGAGAGUGAAGCAUCUAGACCUGCCGAAAACACAACACUGUGGGUGAGAUUGAAACAGCACAAACGAAAAUGGUCUAGCCCAAGGUGGUCUGAACCGUUAAGAGUCACGGCUAGGACAUCCCAUUGUGUGCAAUUAGCAGGUAAAGGCACAACAUGGUAUCAUUUGUCUGCUUGUAUGUUCUGUCCUUCUCCAGACAGGACUUUGGCGGAUGUCAGAGUUGACCUCAGGAGAGGUCAAAGAGAGGGAGAAGGAGAAAGAGAGGGAGAAGAAGGAGAAGGAGACACUGAGGAGCCUGAGGAGCCAGAAAGAGAGGGAGAAGGCGGGGAAAGAAGCGGACAAACAGAAACAGCCCCAGCCCCCAGAACACAGCUAAGCGCAACCCCUAUAUUUAAAAUCUUGCAACGAACUGGAGACUUGCUUCAGACACCAGAACACAUUCCCAUUGCACAUUGUAUAAGUGCUGAUUAUGCACUGGGAGCUGGGGUAGCUAAACAAAUUAGAGACAAAUACGGUGUAGAAGAAUUGAACACUUCAGUCGCCCAACCAGGGGAUUGUAUCAAAACUACACACGGUCCACGACAAAUUUACCAUUUGGUGACCAAAUGGUGGUGUAGGGACCUACCCACCUACGAGCAUCUCGAGACUAGUCUGAUAAAAUUGUGUUACCAGUGUAAGAAAGAUAAAAAUAAAAUAUUAGCUAUACCAAAAUUAGGGUGUGGAUUAGACAAAUUAGACUACACCAAAGUAAAAGAAAUAAUUGAGAAAGUAUUCAAAGAGGGCCACAUUCAGGUAAUUCUCCUAACAAAAUGAAUAAAAUAAACAAAUUGGUGGUGGCAUGGGGAAUAAUGUUGGUGGUAAUCCUAUGGAUAAUCUGCCAUAUGGAAUUCGGAGGGGCAACAAAGGAAAAACGGAGUGUAAAAGAAGGGGGGGGAACAGGGGUGCGUAUUACCUUAGAAAGGGAAGAGGGAAAGGAUGGGAUGUGGCAGUUUGAUCUUUGUCAAGUGAUAGAUUGUGGAAAGGACCAAUUGGCAUGGAGAGGGCAUGAUGUGUAUGGG